GGGCACUUUACCAGAAAUCCUACCUACUACGAGGUUACUUCCAGAUAAGCAGCAACUACAAGCUAAAAUGGUCGCGGGCAUGUAACACGUUUUUGUCAGACCAUCAAAAAGUGACCUUCCACCGUACAUGGAGAUGGGACACUCCCUUGGCAGCGUUGCACACUUCAACACUAUAUUUAGUAGCAUAUAAUGAACUCAGCAAGUUCAGACAUGAAGACUGAAGAAAAUAUAAUAUAGGUUUAGAGAAUUCCAAAUUUCAAAUUUCACUCUCACCUAAAUGUUUUUCACAAAAUACUUGAGAACUUAAACUACAUACACAUGUGAAUCUGGACUGAAAUACUACAACAUAGGCUAGCAAAUAACAACAGCUUCACCCAGCAAAAGGGCACAACACAUAACAACAGUAGUAGUGUAGCGGCCAGAUUGGUCUUCAUCUAGCAGCAGAUUUACAUGGAGGAGCAGCAAGAAUUCACACGUUCAAGCAAAAGACAAUGGGAAGGUCGAUCAGAUGCGCCAAAGAAGGCCACCUGCGAUGGAUGCUUAGGCAGGGCAGGAGGCCCUGCCGACAGCGCAAUGCCCCUGAGGCAACAACUUUCGGGAGAAGGGGCGUUGGAGCAGGGGCCCGAUGGAUCAUGGGGAACAGGGCGACGGAGCUCGGGAGGUGGCUGACGGAGCUUGCAGGGGGGCGAGGCAGUCAGGCGGUGAUGGGAUCCGUGGAAUCAUGCAUGGGGUGCUGGUGGGCGGUGGCGGUGGAUCCGUGCCGGCGCGCCACGGGGUGUGGGGGACAGCCCACUCCGUUGGAGCGAGAAGGGAGGAGGUGGCUGGCUGAGGCGCGCCGAGCUGCUCCUGGUGCCGGCGCCCCUGUUCUGCUCCUCCAGGCGCCGGUGCCUCUUCCUUGUGUUCCUCCGUCCCGGAGGAACUCGGGCAAGACCGGUUCCGCGCACAGAGGGGAUAUCCCGGUGGUGGUGAACGGCGGCGUGAUCGGUUGUCGUGGCUAGCUCCGCCGCUGGGAUUCGGUAGGAGGCGGCGGCGCCCGGAUCGGGUGGAGGAACUUGGUCGUGCGGGAUGGCGGGUUGGAUUGGAAUCCGGGCGACGUGCUGGACCGCGUUGGCCGGCGAGGUUGAACUGAGCGACAGGAGAGUGGGUGGCCUGUCCUGCGGAGUGUGGUGGUGGUGCGGCGACGGACGGGCCUCGCGCGGCGGCGGGAAGAUGUCGCCCAACGACGACCGUAUCUCGCGCGGCGGCGGGAAGAUGUCGCCCAACAGCGCGAUCCGCACGGCAGCGCGGUGGUGGUAGGUGGCCGGAGUUAGGUGGAGGCGGGAAGCACGCCGGAGCCAUCGGGCAGCGGCGAGAGGCGCGUCGGAGCCAGGUAGGCGGCGGCGGGAGGUUGGUCGGGGAGGAUCGUGGGAGGAUGUGGGGGUAGUGGAUAAGAUGGGCGCAGAGGGAUUUUUUCUUUUAGUGGAA
This 1464-nucleotide ribosomal RNA is filed under the name Triticum aestivum (bread wheat). RNAcentral describes it as "partial small subunit ribosomal RNA". Lineage: Eukaryota; Viridiplantae; Streptophyta; Magnoliopsida; Poales; Poaceae. The record is from RNAcentral.